AUUGAACGCUGGCGGCAUGCUUUACACAUGCAAGUCGAACGGUAACAGGUUAAGCUGACGAGUGGCGAACGGGUGAGUAAUGCAUCGGAACGUGCCCGGUCGUGGGGGAUAACGCAGCGAAAGCUGCACUAAUACCGCAUACGAUCUGAGGAUGAAAGCGGGGGACCGUAAGGCCUCGCGCGAUCGGAGCGGCCGAUGUCAGAUUAGGUAGUUGGUGGGGUAAAGGCUCACCAAGCCAACGAUCUGUAGCUGGUCUGAGAGGACGACCAGCCACACUGGGACUGAGACACGGCCCAGACUCCUACGGGAGGCAGCAGUGGGGAAUUUUGGACAAUGGGCGAAUGCCUGAUCCAGCAAUGCCGCGUGCAGGAAGAAGGCCUUCGGGUUGUAAACUGCUUUUGUACGGAGCGAAAAGGUCUCCUCUAAUACAGGGGGCUCAUGACGGUACCGUAAGAAUAAGCACCGGCUAACUACGUGCCAGCCGCCGCGGUAA
Molecule: ribosomal RNA, 493 nt
Filed under: uncultured bacterium
Lineage: Bacteria
Description: partial 16S ribosomal RNA
Rfam family: Bacterial small subunit ribosomal RNA
Source: RNAcentral